GGUGCUUUAAUAUUACUACUUGUGAUGAUGAUGUAGUCUCAAUAUAGUGAGAAGAUGUUGAUGUAUGACUACUUCCUAUCUAGGAGACCAUUGUGAAAUCCAGAAAGAGAAUAGGAAUACAUCUGUCAUAACACCAUGAAUGAAUCAUCUGAAUGAACUCUAUCUUGAGAAACCAGUAAACUGUAAAGUUGAACUGGAAAAUACACCUUCAUGCCAGCUGCAACUGAUAAGAAAGUUUACUGUCUGAUAGUAGUCUUGUGAGUAUGUAAGUGGCAAAACUUGGCUCUGAGUAUCACCUGGGCAAGGUAAUUUUGAAUUGAAUUGACAUUCUUUGAUAAUUAAGU
This is a long non-coding RNA of Mauremys mutica (yellowpond turtle), 344 nucleotides long. RefSeq lists it as uncharacterized. The transcript has 3 exons. The record is from RefSeq and is a predicted model, not a curated record. NCBI's taxonomy places the organism in Eukaryota, Metazoa, Chordata, Testudines, Geoemydidae.